GAGGCGCACCCAGAGCGUACACGUUGGGACCCGAAAGAUGGUGAACUAUGCCUGGUCAGGACGAAGACAGGGGAAACCCUGUUGGAGGUCCGUAGCGAUUCUGACGUGCAAAUCGAUCGUCGGAACUGGGUAUAGGGGCGAAAGACUAAUCGAACCAUCUAGUAGCUGGUU
Molecule: ribosomal RNA, 171 nt
Filed under: Anisoura nicobarica
Lineage: Eukaryota; Metazoa; Arthropoda; Insecta; Orthoptera; Anostostomatidae
Description: partial 28S ribosomal RNA
Rfam family: Eukaryotic large subunit ribosomal RNA
Source: RNAcentral